Chanos chanos (milkfish) is the source of this 72-nucleotide non-coding RNA. Lineage: Eukaryota; Metazoa; Chordata; Actinopteri; Gonorynchiformes; Chanidae. The record is from the annotation of a RefSeq genome assembly.
AAGACACUAGUAAAAACGACAUUACAUUACCUUGUCGAGGUAAAAUUGUAGGUUAAACUCCUGCGUGUCUUA